UCGACUGCAUGAAGCCGGAAUCGCUAGUAAUCGCGGAUCAGAAUGCCGCGGUGAAUACGUUCCCGGGUCUUGUACACACCGCCCGUCACACCAUGAGAGUUGGAAAUACCCGAAGCCUGUGAGCUAACAGUAAUGAGGCAGCAGUCGAAGGUAGAGCCAAUGAUUGGGGUGAAGUCGUAACAAGGUAUC
RNAcentral lists this ribosomal RNA (189 nucleotides) under uncultured bacterium. RNAcentral describes it as "partial 16S ribosomal RNA". It matches the Rfam family "Bacterial small subunit ribosomal RNA", at positions 1312 to 1500 of the family's 1533-position model. The record is from RNAcentral.